Molecule: ribosomal RNA, 826 nt
Filed under: uncultured Alphaproteobacteria bacterium
Lineage: Bacteria; Pseudomonadati; Pseudomonadota; Alphaproteobacteria
Description: bacterial SSU rRNA
Rfam family: Bacterial small subunit ribosomal RNA
Source: RNAcentral
CGAAGAANAGCAAUACUUAGUGGCAGACGGGUGAGUAACAUGUGGGUAUCUGCCCUUUGGCCUGGAAUAACACGAGGAAACUUGUGCUAAUACCGGAUAAGUCUUUACGGAGAAAGCUUUAUGCACCAUUGGAUGAGCCCGCACUUGAUUAGUUAGUUGGUAGGGUAAUGGCCUACCAAGACUGUGAUCAAUAGCUGAUUUGAGAGGAUGAUCAGCCACAUUGGGACUGAGACACGGCCCAAACUCCUACGGAAGGCAGCAGUGGGGAAUCUUGCACAAUGGAGGAAACUCUGAUGCAGCGAUGCCGCGUGAGUGAAGAAGGCCCUUGGGUUGUAAAGCUCUUUCGUCGGGGAAGAAAAUGACUGUACCCGAAUAAGAAGGUCCGGCUAACUUCGUGCCAGCAGCCGCGGUAAUACGAAGGGACCUAGCGUAGUUCGGAAUUACUGGGCUUAAAGAGUUCGUAGGUGGUUGAAAAAGUUGGUGGUGAAAUCCCAGAGCUUAACUCUGAAACUGCCAUCAAAACUUUUCAGCUAGAGUAUGAUAGAGGAAAGCAGAAUUUCUAGUGUAGAGGUGAAAUUCGUAGAUAUUAGAAAGAAUACCAAUUGCGAAGGCAGCUUUCUGGAUCAUUACUGAAACUGAGGAACGAAAGCAUGGGUAGCGAAGAGGAUUAGAUACCCUCGUAGUCCAUGCCGUAAACGAUGUGUGUUAGACGUUGGAAAUUUAUUUUCAGUGUCGCAGCGAAAGCGAUAAACACACCGCCUGGGGAGUACGACCGCAAGGUUAAAACUCAAAUGAAUUGACGGGGACCCGCACAAGUAGUGGAGCA